This 420-nucleotide ribosomal RNA is filed under the name bacterium. Its description in RNAcentral is "partial 16S ribosomal RNA". It matches the Rfam family "Bacterial small subunit ribosomal RNA", at positions 355 to 776 of the family's 1533-position model. The record is from RNAcentral.
UGGGGGAUAUUGCACAAUGGGCGAAAGCCUGAUGCAGCGACGCCGCGUGGGGGAUGAAGGCUUUCGGGUUGUAAACCUCUUUCGCUAUCGAACAAGGCCCGCUUAGGGUGGGUUGAGGGUAGGUGGAGAAGAAGCGCCGGCUAACUACGUGCCAGCAGCCGCGGUAAUACGUAGGGCGCGAGCGUUGUCCGGAAUUAUUGGGCGUAAAGGGCUUGUAGGCGGCUUGUUGCGCCUGCUGUGAAAACGCGGGGCUUAACUUCGCGCGUGCAGUGGGUACGGGCAGGCUUGGGUGUGGUAGGGGUGACUGGAAUUCCAGGUGUAGCGGUGGAAUGCGCAGAUAUCUGGAGGAACACCGAUGGCGAAGGCAGGUCACUGGGCCAUUACUGACGCUGAGGAGCGAAAGCAGGGGUAGCGAACAGG